AUUGAACGCUGGCGGUAGGCCUAACACAUGCAAGUCGAACGGCAGCAGAGUACUAGCUUGCUCUUACGGGGGGCGAGUGGCGGACGGUUGCUGGAUACAUCGGUGUCUACGUUUUCUAGGGUGAGGACGUGGGGGCACUUACGCUAAUAGCGCAUACGGCCUACGGGUGGGAUCAUCGGAUCUUCCGACCUUGCACGAUCCGAUGUCGGAUUAGCUAGUUGGUGGGGUAAAGGCCUACCAAGGCGACGAUCCGUAACUGGUCUGAGAGGAUGAUCAGUCACACUGGAACUGAGACACGGUCCAGACUCCUACGGGAGGCAGCAGUGGGGAAUAUUGGACAAUGGGCGAAAGCCUGAUCCAGCCAUACCGCGUGUGUGAAGAAGGUCUUCGGGUUGUAAAGCACUUUUGUUGGGAAAGAAAAGCAGUAAGUUAAUACCUCGCUGUUUUGACGGUACCAAAAGAAUAAGCACCGGCUAACUUCGUG
Molecule: ribosomal RNA, 484 nt
Filed under: uncultured bacterium
Lineage: Bacteria
Description: partial 16S ribosomal RNA
Rfam family: Bacterial small subunit ribosomal RNA
Source: RNAcentral